RNAcentral lists this ribosomal RNA (484 nucleotides) under uncultured bacterium. RNAcentral describes it as "partial 16S ribosomal RNA". It matches the Rfam family "Bacterial small subunit ribosomal RNA", at positions 30 to 507 of the family's 1533-position model. The record is from RNAcentral.
AUUGAACGCUGGCGGCAGGCCUAACACAUGCAAGUCGAGUGGAUGAAGGGAGCUUGCUCCUGGAUUCAGCGGCGGACGGGUGAGUAAUGCCUAGGAAUCUGCCUGGUAGUGGGGGAUAACGUCCGGAAACGGGCGCUAAUACCGCAUACGUCCUGAGGGAGAAAGUGGGGGAUCUUCGGACCUCACGCUAUCAGAUGAGCCUAGGUCGGAUUAGCUAGUUGGUGGGGUAAAGGCCUACCAAGGCGACGAUCCGUAACUGGUCUGAGAGGAUGAUCAGUCACACUGGAACUGAGACACGGUCCAGACUCCUACGGGAGGCAGCAGUGGGGAAUAUUGGACAAUGGGCGAAAGCCUGAUCCAGCCAUGCCGCGUGUGUGAAGAAGGUCUUCGGAUUGUAAAGCACUUUAAGUUGGGAGGAAGGGCAGUAAGUUAAUACCUUGCUGUUUUGACGUUACCAACAGAAUAAGCACCGGCUAGCUUCGUG